Molecule: transfer RNA, 68 nt
Filed under: Marmota monax (woodchuck)
Lineage: Eukaryota; Metazoa; Chordata; Mammalia; Rodentia; Sciuridae
Description: tRNA.Ala
Source: RNAcentral
GUCGUGGCUUAGUGGAAGAGCACUUGCCUAGCAUUCAUGAGGCACUGGGUUAGAUUCUCAGCACCACA